GGGGGCGAACUGGAUUCGACCGGAUAGCCUGAAGCGAAUACGGCGUGCCGUGGUUGAUCAGAUGGCCACGUAAAAAGCUGAUCACAAACUUAACUGCCGAGAGCAAUCUCGCACUUGCUGCCUAACUAAACGGUAGCUUCCGACUGAGGGCUUUAGCCGGAGAGGCCCAAAAGUUGGUCACCAAAUCCGGACCGCCUCGUGCCAUGAUCGAAACGCACGAGGUCAAAAAAGUUUCGAUCUAGUGCAGGGUGUAGCCAGCAGCUAGGCGACAAACUGUGCAAAAAUCAAAUUUUCUGCUACGCACGUAGAUGUGUUCGUGAAAAUGUCUCGGGACGGGGGUUCAAUUCCCCCCGCCUCCACUG
This is a non-coding RNA of Pirellula staleyi DSM 6068, 362 nucleotides long. It matches the Rfam family "transfer-messenger RNA". From Rfam's summary of the family: Bacterial tmRNA, also known as 10Sa RNA or SsrA, is named for its dual tRNA and mRNA-like properties. The record is from Rfam. Lineage: Bacteria; Pseudomonadati; Planctomycetota; Planctomycetia; Pirellulales; Pirellulaceae.